GUAUGAGCAUGUUCAGAUGUGUCUUUGAGAUGUUGGAGGAACACAAAGGAGAGAAUCGCUUUAGUCACAUCAUGAUCAACAUGUCGCGUUAGUAUACUUUUAUCUUUGAAAGUAUAAUGUGUUAUCUAACUACAAGGUAAUUUUCGUCUCUAUUAGCAUUAUGAUAAAAAACUAGCAGAAAAUGUUGUGAGUCUAAUGUUAUCAUUAGAGUCAAAUAUUAUCAUUAAAUAUAUACAGAUAGGACUGUACUUGUGUUGGACUCUAGGCUUAAGCUAUGUAUAUAUAUGCUAGCAUUAGGACCUCAUAUUAUAAUAAGUAUUAUUUCAAGACGACCAUCCGAUUAGUGUGGCUACGUCGAACGCCCGCGCCAUGAUUGCAACAUUCUAGUGGCCAAUGUUGUUGACUUCAGGCAAAUCACGGUGGAGAUGCUCUCUCGACUAGAGCUCGGGACGACAGGGCUCAAGACCCUCACGCGCGAGGUGAUGGACGUGCUCAUCGACAAGCCCAAGCAUGUGACACUCGGCAGGUGGAAAAGACGUUCUUUUGGCCCCCACAGGUCUAGUACGUCGUUGUUGAUGUCUAUGAGUUCUACAAGGUUGGUUGUCUGUUGUUCAUGACAGAGCGCACGCACAGCUGAUGGAAGGACGCCGCCGUCUAUUUGCAUGGAGAUGCUGUCAGAGCAUCUCCAAUAGAAGUUCUAAACAGAGUUGUAUUUUGAAAUAUAGUACUUUAACAAAAAUAUUUCUU
Zea mays is the source of this 747-nucleotide RNA transcript. RefSeq lists it as uncharacterized. The record is from RefSeq and is marked validated. NCBI's taxonomy places the organism in Eukaryota, Viridiplantae, Streptophyta, Magnoliopsida, Poales, Poaceae. The transcript has a single exon.